Molecule: unclassified non-coding RNA, 345 nt
Filed under: soil metagenome
Description: partial contains 5.8S ribosomal RNA, internal transcribed spacer 2, and large subunit ribosomal RNA
Rfam family: 5.8S ribosomal RNA (bases 1-119)
Source: RNAcentral
GAUGAAGAACGCAGCGAAAUGCGAUACGUAAUGUGAAUUGCAAAUUCAGUGAAUCAUCGAGUCUUUGAACGCACAUUGCGCCCCCUGGUAUUCCGGGGGGCAUGCCUGUCCGAGCGUCAUUGCUGCCCUCAAGCACGGCUUGUGUGUUGGGCCCCGUCCUCCGAUCCCGGGGGACGGGCCCGAAAGGCAGCGGCGGCACCGCGUCCGGUCCUCGAGCGUAUGGGGCUUUGUCACCCGCUCUGUAGGCCCGGCCGGCGCUUGCCGAUCAACCCAAAUUUUUUAUCCAGGUUGACCUCGGAUCAGGUAGGGAUACCCGCUGAACUUAAGCAUAUCAAUAGCGGAGGA